UACGUAGGGGGCAAGCGUUGUCCGGAAUCAUUGGGCGUAAAGAGCGUGUAGGCGGCCCGGUAAGUCCGCUGUGAAAGUCGGGGGCUCAACCCUCGAAUGCCGGUGGAUACUGUCGGGCUAGAGUGCGGAAGAGGCGAGUGGAAUUCCUGGUGUAGCGGUGAAAUGCGCAGAUAUCAGGAGGAAUACCGAUGGCGAAGGCAGGUCUCUGGGCUGACACUGACGCUCAUGCACGAAAGCGUGGGGAGCAAACAGG
This 253-nucleotide ribosomal RNA is filed under the name uncultured bacterium. RNAcentral's name for it is "partial 16S ribosomal RNA". It matches the Rfam family "Bacterial small subunit ribosomal RNA", at positions 524 to 776 of the family's 1533-position model. The record is from RNAcentral.